This 347-nucleotide ribosomal RNA is filed under the name uncultured Glomeromycotina. RNAcentral describes it as "SSU rRNA". It matches the Rfam family "Eukaryotic small subunit ribosomal RNA", at positions 569 to 923 of the family's 1831-position model. The record is from RNAcentral. Lineage: Eukaryota; Fungi; Glomeromycota.
AGCAGCCGCGGUAAUUCCAGCUCCAAUAGCGUAUAUUAAAGUUGUUGCAGUUAAAAAGCUCGUAGUUGAAUUUCGGGAUCAAUAUGUUGGUCGUGCCCUGGUACGUACUGGCGUCAUUGGUUUCUACCUUCUGAAGAACCUCGAUGUCAUUAAUUUGGUGUCUUGGGGAAUCAGGACUGUUACUUUGAAAAAUUGAGUGUUUAAAGCAAGCUCACGCUUGAAUACAUUAGCAUGGAAUAAUGAAAUAGGACGUUUGAUUCUAUUUUGUUGGUUUCUAGGGUCGACGUAAUGAUUAAUAGGGAUAGGUUGGGGCAUUAGUAUUCAAUUGUCAGAGGUGAAAUUCUUGG